GGUAUCUAACCAGAAAGCCACGGCUAACUACGUGCCAGCAGCCGCGGUAAUACGUAGGUGGCAAGCGUUGUCCGGAUUUAUUGGGCGUAAAGCGAGCGCAAGCGGUUUCUUAAGUCUGAUGUGAAAGCCCCCGGCUCAACCGGGGAGGGUCAUUGGAAACUGGGAGACUUGAGUGCAGAAGAGGAGAGUGGAAUUCCAUGU
RNAcentral lists this ribosomal RNA (201 nucleotides) under Enterococcus faecium. RNAcentral describes it as "partial 16S ribosomal RNA". It matches the Rfam family "Bacterial small subunit ribosomal RNA", at positions 474 to 674 of the family's 1533-position model. Lineage: Bacteria; Bacillati; Bacillota; Bacilli; Lactobacillales; Enterococcaceae. The record is from RNAcentral.